RNAcentral lists this transfer RNA (96 nucleotides) under Bryobacteraceae bacterium. Its description in RNAcentral is "tRNA-Sec". It matches the Rfam family "Selenocysteine transfer RNA". Lineage: Bacteria; Pseudomonadati; Acidobacteriota; Terriglobia; Bryobacterales; Bryobacteraceae. The record is from RNAcentral.
GGAAGCUCAAUUCGGCCGGUGCCGGGCCUGGUCUUCAAAACCAGUGAGAGGCGUUCGCUCGUCUCUGGUGGGUUCGACCCCCACGAGCUUCCGCCA